ACUGUGCCACUUUGGCGGGCUGUUGAGGAGGGAGAGGAUACAAGACAUUUAUGGGCCAUGUGUCACAGCUCCUGCAGGAAGUGUUUGUGUGAUGGGGAAGAAAACUAAUGGGGAAGGAAACGAGCAAGGAUAUUUAUUUCACCAAAGAUUACUUGUUGAGCUCAAUGGGGACCACCGAUGACCAAGGUUCCAAGGGACUUUAGGGAUUUGAUGAAGAUUAAAAACACUUUCCAGAUAAUUAUUUUGAAAU
Long non-coding RNA from Phlebotomus papatasi, 250 nucleotides. RefSeq lists it as uncharacterized. NCBI's taxonomy places the organism in Eukaryota, Metazoa, Arthropoda, Insecta, Diptera, Psychodidae. The transcript is spliced from 3 exons. The record is from RefSeq and is a predicted model, not a curated record.